This 408-nucleotide ribosomal RNA is filed under the name uncultured bacterium. RNAcentral's name for it is "partial 16S ribosomal RNA". It matches the Rfam family "Bacterial small subunit ribosomal RNA", at positions 28 to 526 of the family's 1533-position model. The record is from RNAcentral.
GACGAACGCUGGCGGCGUGCUUAACACAUGCAAGUCGAACGGAGUGGCGAACGGGUGAGUAACACGUGGGUGAUCUGCCUUGCACUUCGGGAUAAGCUUGGGAAACUGGGUCUAAUACCGGAUAGUGCAAGAUGAGCUCGCGGGCUAUCAGCUUGUUGGUGGGGUAAUGGCCUACCAAGGCGUCGAAGGGUAGCCGGCCUGGGAGGGUGUACGGCCCCAUUGGGACUGCGGUACGGCCCAGACGCCUACGGGGGGCAGGAGGUGGGAAUAUUGCACAAUUGGGCGAAGCCUGAUGCAGCGACGCCGGGGGGGGGAUGAAGGCCUUCGGGUUGGAAACUCCUUUCGACAGGGACGCGGUACCUGUAUAAGAAGCACCGGCUAACUACGUGCCAGCAGCCGCGGUAAUAC